RNAcentral lists this ribosomal RNA (468 nucleotides) under uncultured bacterium. Its description in RNAcentral is "partial 16S ribosomal RNA". It matches the Rfam family "Bacterial small subunit ribosomal RNA", at positions 28 to 507 of the family's 1533-position model. The record is from RNAcentral.
GACGAACGCUGGCGGCGUGCUUAACACAUGCAAGUCGAACGGAAAGGCCCUGCUUUUGUGGGGUGCUCGAGUGGCGAACGGGUGAGUAACACGUGAGUAACCUGCCCUUGACUUUGGGAUAACUUCAGGAAACUGGGGCUAAUACCGGAUAGGAGCUCCUGCUGCAUGGUGGGGGUUGGAAAGUUUCGGCGGUUGGGGAUGGACUCGCGGCUUAUCAGCUUGUUGGUGGGGUAGUGGCUUACCAAGGCUUUGACGGGUAGCCGGCCUGAGAGGGUGACCGGCCACAUUGGGCCUGAGAUACGGCCCAGACUCCUACGGGAGGCAGCAGUGGGGAAUCUUGCACAAUGGGCGGAAGCCUGAUGCAGCAGCGCCGCGUGCGUGAUGACGGCCUUCGGGUUGUAAACCGCUUUCGCCUGUGACGAAGCGUGAGUGACGGUAAUGGGUAAAGAAGCACCGGCUAACUACGUG